GGUCUUUUAGUUUAUUAAAAUAUUGAAUUGCAAACUCAAAGAUAGCUUGUCUAAAGACUUC
RNAcentral lists this transfer RNA (61 nucleotides) under Ruditapes philippinarum (Manila clam). Its description in RNAcentral is "tRNA-Cys". The record is from RNAcentral. Lineage: Eukaryota; Metazoa; Mollusca; Bivalvia; Venerida; Veneridae.